AUGGGUGGCAAGACUCUUCAGGUGUCAGGAUUUCCUGCAACUUUCAAUGUUCACCAUGUCAAGGAUUUGUUGGAACGAAUUGUCGGUGUGGGUAAAGUCUGUGCGGUCAAGCUCAGGCCUCCAAAGAACAGCUCUGCAAACUCAAGAUCUUUUGCCAUUGUUCAGUUCGAGACCGAAGCACAUGCUUCGCUGGUGGUGAAUGCGGCUCGAGGGAAUGCACUUAGGAGUGGAAGUAAUUAUUUGAAGGUCCGACCUGCGGAACGUGACAUUGUUCUGAAACCAAGAACUGCGAUGUUUAAUCUAGAGGAGGAUGCAACAUUGCAUUUUGGCUGCCUUCUGAGGGAAAGAGUUCUAUCUGUUCUGUGGAGCGGAACAGGCGUUUCUGUUGAGUUUGGAUUUGCUAUGAAGAAGAUUGACUUUUGCCUGACCUACAACUCGAAGAAAUACAAACUUGAACUUUCAUAUGAGAGCAUAUGGGAGAUCCAGAUUCAUCAGCCACCUGGAUCACAAAAGAAGUUCCUUUUGAUUCAGGUCAUGGCUGCUCCAAAAAUUUACGAACAAAAUCUACGGCAUUCUGGCUCUAUGUACGACGAUCCAUCAUACAACUAUUUUAGGGAUGAUACUGAAGAUCAGUGGACCAGAACUACUGAUUUUACUCCAUUAGCCAGCAUUGGGCAGUCAUAUAUUCUGUGUCUGGAGAUACCAAAUGAUUGUGAUCUCCCGAACAUUCGGGAGUACUUUGUUUACUGUGAAGUACACAAUGAUGACUUUCAUUGCCAGCCUGGACAUUCAUAUUCAAGCAAUACCUGCUUUGUUCCAAUUGUGAAAUCUCUUUAUUCCACCAAUGUCCCCUAUGAGAUAAUCUUCAAGAUCAACCACUUGGUUCAGAAUGGGAUACUUAGUGGGCCAACACUUGAUGACAACUUCUACCGUCUGGUCAGCCCGGGAUAUGUGUGUAUUGACCAUAUAAAGCGUGCACUUGAAAAUAUGUCAUACCUAAAAAAGACUUGCUUGAAUCCAACAAAUUGGUUAUCUGAACAAUACAAAGAAAUUCAGAGAUCACGCUACAUGUUAACAUCACCAAACAUAUCUCUGGAUGAUGAUGGGUUGGUAUAUGUUUACAGGGUGCAAAUUACCCCUGCAAAAGUGUACUUUUAUGGUCCUGAAAUUAAUGUCUCGAAUCGUGUUGCACGUAAUUACGCUGAUGAUUUGGAUAACUUCCUUCGGAUUUCAUUUGUCGACGAGGACUUUGAGAAGCUUCGUUCGACUGAUUUAUCACCACGUUCUGCUCCAGGAAAUAAUGCAAGGAGAACUGCUCUGUACAACAGAAUUCUGUCGGUCCUAUCGAAUGGCAUCACUAUUGGUAACAAGCACUUUGAGUUUUUGGCUUUCUCUUCAAGCCAGCUGCGGGAUAACUCUGCGUGGAUGUUUGCUUCUCAUCCGGGGUUGUCUGCCAGUGACAUCAGGGAGUGGAUGGGGAACUUCCGUAAUAUUAGAAAUGUGGCAAAGUAUGCUGCAAGGCUUGGUCAGUCCUUUAGUGCCUCAACAGAAACCUUGAAAGUACAUAAGUAUGAGGUGCAAGUAAUUCCAGAUGUAAAAAAUGGUACGAAGUAUGUAUUCUCUGAUGGAAUUGGAACCAUUUCAGCUGAUUUUGCAGAUGAGGUGUCUAAGAAGUGCAAAUUGGCCCGCUUUACUCCCUCUGCUUUCCAAAUAAGGUAUGGGGGUUACAAAGGUGUUGUCGCUAUUGAUCCAACAUCACACUGGAAACUUUCUUUAAGAGGAAGCAUGUCAAAGUUUCCGUCAGACAACAUCACACUGGAUGUCCUUGCAUACAGCAAGUACCAGCCAUGUUUCCUGAACCGGCAGUUAAUCACUCUUCUUUCGACACUCGGAGUUAGAGAUAACAUAUUUGAACUGAAGCAACAAGAAGUUGUGAAGCAGUUAAACAGAAUGGUAACUGAACCACAAGCUGCUAUUGAUGCAAUUGAACUUAUGCCCAUGGGAGAGAUUACCAAUGUUGUUAAAGAAUUGCUGUUAUGUGGCUACAAGCCGGAUGUUGAACCAUAUCUUUCUAUGAUUCUACAAACCUUUAGAGCAUCCAAGUUGCUAGAACUGAAAACGAAGUCUAGGAUAUUCAUCCCAGAAGGACGAGCAAUGAUGGGAUGCUUGGAUGAAACCCGCACACUCAAGUACGGACAGGUAUUCAUUCAAGCUUCUAAUAGUGCAAAUGACAGUGACAAGUUCAUCGUAACUGGAAAAGUUGUCGUUGCCAAAAACCCUUGCCUCCACCCUGGUGAUAUCCGUAUUCUCGAGGCUGUUUAUACCCCUGUUCUGGACCAUAUGGUUAACUGUGUUGUCUUUCCACAGCAGGGGCCAAGGCCUCAUCCUAACGAGUGUUCAGGAAGUGAUCUUGAUGGGGACAUAUAUUUUGUUUCAUGGGACCCAGAUCUCAUUCCAACUCGUAUGGUGGCACCUAUGGACUAUACUCCAGCACCAACAGAAACAUUAGAUCAUGAUGUUAUGAUCGAGGAAGUACAUGAGUAUUUCGCAAAUUACAUAGUUAAUGAGAGUCUGGGAAUCAUUGCCAACGCACAUGUGGUCUUUGCGGAUAGGGAAAGCUUGAAGGCUGAAAGUACACAAUGCAUUAAGCUGGCAGAGCUCUUCUCCAUUGCUGUUGAUUACCCAAAGACAGGAGUGCCGGCUCAAAUUCCGCCUGAACUACAUGUGAAGGAGUACCCAGAUUUUAUGGAGAAGCUCGACAGGGUUACCUAUGUAUCUGAGGGAGUAAUAGGGAAGCUGUAUAGGGAAAUUAAGAAGCAGAGCCCUCGCAUAGAGCAUUUCACAAAGGAUGUGGCAAGGCGGUCUUAUGACAGUGAUUUGAUUGUUGAUGGCUACCAAGACUACAUCGACGAAGCUGUGUGGAUGAAGGGAGAGUAUGACUUCAAGUUGGGUAAUCUGAUGGAGCACUAUGGAAUAAAAAGCGAGGCUGAGAUAAUAAGUGGAUGCAUUCUUAAGAUGGCGAAGAAUUUUACCAAGAGUAGUGACGCCGAUGCUAUUAGACAGGCGGUGAAAUCAUUGCGGAAGGAAGCAAGGUCAUGGUUCAGCGAGAUGAACGUCGGUGAGAGCGGGGAUGUCCCUGAAGCCUUGUAUGCCAAGGCAUCCGCUUGGUAUCAUGUUACCUAUCACCCCGAGUACUGGGGUUGUUACAAUGAAGGAUAUGGCCGGCCACAUCUCAUCAGCUUUCCAUGGUGUGUCUAUGACAAGCUGCUUCUCAUCAAGCAGAGAAAGAAAUUUCGAAGGAGGAUGCAGCCUCAUGUGCUUGAUCUCCAGAAUAGCAUGAGGCGAAACACGAUAUUCGGUUGA
Molecule: ribosomal RNA, 3363 nt
Filed under: Triticum aestivum (bread wheat)
Lineage: Eukaryota; Viridiplantae; Streptophyta; Magnoliopsida; Poales; Poaceae
Description: partial small subunit ribosomal RNA
Source: RNAcentral